Molecule: ribosomal RNA, 255 nt
Filed under: uncultured bacterium
Lineage: Bacteria
Description: partial 16S ribosomal RNA
Rfam family: Bacterial small subunit ribosomal RNA
Source: RNAcentral
UACGUAGGGACCAAGCGUUGUUCGGAUUUACUGGGCGUAAAGGGCGCGUAGGCGGCUUAACAAGUCACUUGUGAAAUCUCCGGGCUUAACUCGGAACGGCCAAGUGAAACUGUCAAGCUAGAGUGCAGAAGGGGCAAUCGGAAUUCUUGGUGUAGCGGUGAAAUGCGUAGAUAUCAAGAGGAACACCUGAGGUGAAGACGGGUUGCUGGGCUGACACUGACGCUGAGACGCGAAAAGCGUGGGGGAGCAAACAGG